CCCAGGGGCACCCCCUCUCCUUCCAGGGGCCCAGACUCGGCCCAGGCCACGUGGAGUCGGGGAGACCACGCUGGCCAUGUGGCCUGGCCUUGCUGGCCUGAGCAGAAGUGGGAGUGAGCGGAAGCAGCCGUGCACGGCCACACAGGACACGGUCUGCCGCUGCCGGGCGGGCACCCAGCCCCUGGACAGCUACAAGCCUGGAGUUGACUGUGCCCCCUGCCCUCCAGGGCACUUCUCCCCAGGCGACAACCAGGCCUGCAAGCCCUGGACCAACUGCACCUUGGCUGGGAAGCACACCCUGCAGCCGGCCAGCAAUAGCUCGGACGCAAUCUGUGAGGACAGGGACCCCCCAGCCACGCAGCCCCAGGAGACCCAGGGCCCCCCGGCCAGGCC
RNAcentral lists this small RNA (393 nucleotides) under Pan troglodytes (chimpanzee). RNAcentral's name for it is "processed transcript". Lineage: Eukaryota; Metazoa; Chordata; Mammalia; Primates; Hominidae. The record is from RNAcentral.